Molecule: ribosomal RNA, 1092 nt
Filed under: Triticum aestivum (bread wheat)
Lineage: Eukaryota; Viridiplantae; Streptophyta; Magnoliopsida; Poales; Poaceae
Description: partial small subunit ribosomal RNA
Source: RNAcentral
AUGGCAGCGCUCGUCCAACAGGAAGACAAGCUCGCCAUGAGCAGCGACGAGUUGCUCGAAGCUCAGUUGGAGCUGUACCACCACGGCCUCGCCUUCGUCAAGUCGCUGGCGCUCAAGGCCGCCAUCGACCUCGGCAUCCCCGAUGCCAUCCACAGCCGCGGCGGGGGCGGCGCGACCCUUUCCGAGCUCGUCGCGGACAUCGGCAUCCACCCGACGAAGCUCCCCAACCUUCGUCGGCUCAUGCGAGUGCUUACCACCUCCGGUGUCUUCUCUGUCUCUGGCUCCGGCGACGCCGCAUGCUACAAGCUCACCCGCGUGUCUCGUCUCCUCGUGUCGGGCGGCCUGUCCCCCAUGGUGGUAGGAUUCCUUUACCCGCAGUAUGUAGCGGCUCUCUCAGACAUGCGCGAGUGGUUCACCGACGAGCGGGCGACGGCCAUGUCGCUCUUCGAGGUGGCAAAUGGGCGCACGUUGUGGGAGCUGGCCGCGUCGGACCCCACGACUGGCACCGCCUUGCAGGCUGCCAUGGACGCCGACAGCCGCUUUACGGUGAAGAACCUCCUCACGGAUUGCGGAGCAAGCGUGUUAAGUGCCGUGAGGGGCCCGCUAGUGGACGUCGGCGGCGGCCAUGGUGCCACGGCGGCCGCCGUCGCAAGUGCCUUCCCACAUCUCAAGUGCAGCGUGCUGGAUCUCCCUCACGUCGUCGCUUCUGCUCCGGCCCAUGAGGGUGACAUUCGUCGCCGGCGAUAUGUUGAGUACAUCCCACCCGCCGACGUUGUUCUACUCAAGUGGAUUCUGCAUGACUGGAAAGAUGAAGAUUGUGUGAAGAUAUUGCGACGAUGCAAGGAAGCAAUCCCAUCAAGGGACGCAGGAGGAAAGGUGAUAAUUAUCGAUGCUGUGGUUGGGUCUGCAAGCUCGUCGCAGGGAAUCAUCUCCAAAGAGACUGAGGUUUUGUUCGACGUCUACAUCAUGAACAUCGAUGGAAUUGAGCGAGAGGACCACGAGUGGAAGAAGAUUUUCGUUGAAGCCGGAUUCACUGACUAUAAGAUUACACCAACCAAGGGGCUUCGACAAAUCAUUGAACUCUAUCCAUGA